AAUCAACGCUGGCGGCGUGCCUAACACAUGCAAGUCGAACGCGAAAGCCCCGCCAGGGGUAAGUAGAGUGGCAAACGGGUGAGUAACACGUGGGUGACCUGCCUUCGAGUGGGGGAUAACGUCCCGAAAGGGACGCUAAUACCGCAUGACAUCCUGCUUUUGAAAAAGCGGAGAUCAAAGCUGGGGAUCGCAAGACCUAGCGCUUGAAGAGGGGCCCGCGCCUGAUUAGGUAGUUGGUGGGGUUACGGCUCACCAAGGCGACGAUCAGUAUCCGGCCUGAGAGGGCGGACGGGCACCCUGGGACUGUGACCCGGCCCAGACUCCUACGGGAGGCAGCCGUGGGGAAUUGUUCGCAAUGGGCGCAAGCCUGACGACGCAACGCCGCGUGGAGGACGAAGAUCUUCGGGUCGUAAACGCCGGUCGAGCGGGACGAACGCUUCGCGGAUGAAUAAUCCGCGGAAUUGACGGUACCGCUAAAGGAAGCCCCGGCUAACUCCGUG
Molecule: ribosomal RNA, 500 nt
Filed under: uncultured bacterium
Lineage: Bacteria
Description: partial 16S ribosomal RNA
Rfam family: Bacterial small subunit ribosomal RNA
Source: RNAcentral